CUAGAUUCCUGAACACAUUCAGACCUGCCACAGCAACCCAGCUCUGAACUCCCUUCAAGUAAGACAAGGCUGCUCUAUGCCAAAGGAAAUAAGAUUAAAGCAACACAGGAAGAGUUCUGGUUGGCAAUAAGACACAAUGGAUAUAUCUUGCGUGGGAUUUGAAAGGAAGAGUAGAAAAAUCUACAUGAGUACUCUUGGGGGAAAAGAGAUCUCCCUCUGUCACCCAGGCUGGAUUGCAAAGGCAUGAUCAUGGCUUACUGCAGCCUCAACCUACCUAGCUCAAGUGAUCCUCCCACCGCACCCUCCUAAGUAGCUGGGACUACAGGCUUGGUCCUGUGAAUUACUUUGGUCAAUGAGACAUGAACAAAUAUGAUACAAGCAGAGGCUUUAAAAGACUUGCAUAUUGGAGCUUGCUCUCAUUUUCUGUACUUGGAAGUCUGCAAUUGCCAUCAUGUGAACAAGCCCUGGCUAGCCUCCUGGAUGAUUAUAGCCAAAUCACCUCCAUCACUCAAGGUGACAUUGAGUCAACUGCCUGAAGCCAUCCUAGACCAUCCAGCUUCAGCUGAAACAGCCCAGAAUAAGAAUCA
This is a long non-coding RNA of Gorilla gorilla gorilla (western lowland gorilla), 587 nucleotides long. RefSeq lists it as uncharacterized. The record is from RefSeq and is a predicted model, not a curated record. The transcript is spliced from 4 exons. NCBI's taxonomy places the organism in Eukaryota, Metazoa, Chordata, Mammalia, Primates, Hominidae.